This 388-nucleotide unclassified non-coding RNA is filed under the name uncultured Glomus. RNAcentral's name for it is "SSU rRNA". It matches the Rfam family "Eukaryotic small subunit ribosomal RNA", at positions 569 to 961 of the family's 1831-position model. Lineage: Eukaryota; Fungi; Glomeromycota; Glomeromycetes; Glomerales; Glomeraceae. The record is from RNAcentral.
AGCAGCCGCGGUAAUUCCAGCUCCAAUAGCGUAUAUUAAAGUUGUUGCAGUUAAAAAGCUCGUAGUUGAAUUUCGGGAUCAGUACGCUGGUCAUGCCUUUGGUAUGCACUGGUGUCACUGGUUUCUCCCUUCUGAAGAUCCGUGAUGUCAUUAAUUUGGUGUCGCGGGGAAUCAGGACUGUUACUUUGAAAAAAUUAGAGUGUUUAAAGCAGGCUCACGCUUGAAUACAUUAGCAUGGAAUAAUGAAAUAGGACGUUUGACCCUAUUUUGUUGGUUUCUAGGAUCGACGUAAUGAUUAAUAGGGAUAGUUGGGGGCAUUAGUAUUCAAUUGUCAGAGGUGAAAUUCUUGGAUUUAUUGAAGACUAACUACUGCGAAAGCAUUUGCCAA